Non-coding RNA from Leptonychotes weddellii (Weddell seal), 669 nucleotides. Lineage: Eukaryota; Metazoa; Chordata; Mammalia; Carnivora; Phocidae. The record is from RefSeq and is a predicted model, not a curated record.
UAAUUGCCCCUUGUUUGUUUCAGGUGUGAUCCCCUGGGCCCGUUUGCUGUCGGGGGAGAGGACCUGGACCCCUUUGGGUGUCGGAGAGGUGGCAUGAUUGUGGAUCCCCUGAGGUCUGGCUUCCCAAGAGCACUCAUUGACCCAUCCUCGGGCCUCCCAAACCGUCUUCCUCCAGGAGCUGUGCCCCCAGGAGCACGCUUUGACCCCUUUGGACCCAUUGGGACCAGCCCAUCUGGACCUAACCCAGACCAUCUCCCCCCGCCGGGCUUCGAUGACAUGUACCUGUGAAGGCCUCAAGAAUGUAACAUCCCAGCCUUCCCUCCACUGUCCUGGAGCUGCCACCGCUGGCCCCAUCAGCAACCGUGUUCUUGCGGGCUGGGGGCAAGGGACUCUGCCCAUGUGUUUGUGGGCCGGCUGGGAUCGCCUCCCCACCCCCUAUCAGAGCCAAGGCACCUGCUGCAGCUCUCCACCUGGCUGCAUAUAGGUCCCAAAGAGAAAUCAGUGUGUCUCUCUCACCACCAGCUCCCCCACACUUCUCAAGGGAGACUCCGGCAACAUCUCCCCUCGGCCCGAUGCUGUCCCAGCUGCAGCACCAUAAGAACAGAACACAUUUUGGAUGUUAUUAUAAGAACCAAAUGUCAAUACAAAAAUCAUGUUGCCAGUCUCCCA